GAGAGGAGAACCUGUUACUGGCUGCUCUGAGUGUGACUCUGGGGGAGCAGUAGGAUGUUUUCCCCCAAGGGGGCUCCCAUUAAGGAAUUUAAGCCUCUCGGGGUUUGUGUGACAGGAUUCUAAACAGCAGAUUAUUGCAAACGAGCGCAGAACUCGGGAAAGAGGAGUUGCUCUUUGCCACUGAAGCAGGCCAGCAGUGCCUUUCUGGAGCCCAAUGGCAGAGUUUGGGGGGCAGCUUUCUGGAAGCAUGGAGAGGCAGGGUUAUUGCUGCUUCAGGGCUGAAGCACCUCAGACUGUGACCGCCUCAGUGCCUGACGCCAGACCCAAGACCGAGUUCAGGACAUAGCAUAGGAACAGCCCAGCUCUUUCCACUUCACCGGACACCCCCGUGAGGGAAAGAGACAGUCUCCAUCUUGGAAAAUCAAACUCCUCAACUUUUGGCAGGUGUGGAUGGGCAUCUGAACAGAGCUUUUGAUUGUCUCUCUAAAGAAUAGAAGAACUCCAAGACAAAACCACAUAAAGAACUUCUUAACUCUUCUAUAGGACUAAAACUUAGUUGCAGCAGGUGCUGUGGAGGAAGGGAGUGGAUUUGUUAUCCUGGGAGAGGAUUCCUGAUGAAUCCAGGAUGAGUUCUGUCCCUUCCUCUCUUGCUCUCCUCCUCUUUCCCUCACUUCAUUUUCUGCCAUGGGAGAAUGCAGCACCAAGGCCCUUGCCAGAAGCCAGCACCAUAUGCUCAGAUUUCCCAACGUCCAGAACCAUGAGCCAAAUAGAUUUCUAUUGUUUAUAAAUUU
This is a non-coding RNA of Ictidomys tridecemlineatus (thirteen-lined ground squirrel), 791 nucleotides long. Lineage: Eukaryota; Metazoa; Chordata; Mammalia; Rodentia; Sciuridae. The record is from RefSeq and is a predicted model, not a curated record.